UCCCAGGUAGCUUAAUAGUAGAGCACCUGACUGGCAAUUGGGGGAUCUGGGUUCAAUUCUCGGCUCGGGCU
This 71-nucleotide transfer RNA is filed under the name Strigamia maritima. It matches the Rfam family "tRNA". From Rfam's summary of the family: Transfer RNA (tRNA) molecules are approximately 80 nucleotides in length. Their secondary structure includes four short double-helical elements and three loops (D, anti-codon, and T loops). Further hydrogen bonds mediate the characteristic L-shaped molecular structure. tRNAs have two regions of fundamental functional importance: the anti-codon, which is responsible for specific mRNA codon recognition, and the 3' end, to which the tRNAs corresponding amino acid is attached (by aminoacyl-tRNA synthetases). tRNAs cope with the degeneracy of the genetic code in two manners: having more than one tRNA (with a specific anti-codon) for a particular amino acid; and 'wobble' base-pairing, i.e. permitting non-standard base-pairing at the 3rd anti-codon position. Lineage: Eukaryota; Metazoa; Arthropoda; Chilopoda; Geophilomorpha; Linotaeniidae. The record is from Rfam by way of RNAcentral.